This 238-nucleotide unclassified non-coding RNA is filed under the name Candidatus Phytoplasma sacchari. RNAcentral's name for it is "16S-23S ribosomal RNA intergenic spacer". Lineage: Bacteria; Bacillati; Mycoplasmatota; Mollicutes; Acholeplasmatales; Acholeplasmataceae. The record is from RNAcentral.
CAGUGCCAAGGUUUCCAAAAUACUCAUCUGCAGCUUUUAAAGAUUUAGUUAAUAUAAGUUUUUGUUAUUAAGGAAAAGAAAAUGGGCAAGAGCUGAGUUAAGACGAGCACAUGCGUGGUUAGCGUGAAAUCGAUGGUUCAAGUCCAUUUAGGCCCACCAACUGAAAAAAAGGUCCAACUCUAAUUUAGAAAAAAAAAGUUUUCUGAAAAAAAGAAAAACAAAGUAGAAUUAAAAAAUC